Molecule: long non-coding RNA, 1513 nt
Filed under: Bos indicus x Bos taurus (hybrid cattle)
Lineage: Eukaryota; Metazoa; Chordata; Mammalia; Artiodactyla; Bovidae
Description: lncRNA (ENSBIXG00000000264.1)
Source: RNAcentral
AUGGAGAACAACUGUUAUCUCUUUGCUUUCAUCUGUGUCACUUAAAUCAAUUUUCUAUGUGCCCAUCAGGCCAGGGAUAAAGUUACUAAGUUUCAAAAUGGGGAAGAAUUCUUAGAGUUGAGUCAUCAAAGACAAGCUGGGCUCUUCCGCCUCUAAUGUGACCUAUUUUAAAGACCUUUAGGGGAGAUGAUUUCAAAACAUAUUUUUGAUAAUUCACUUCAAUGUCAAAAUGUUAAAAAGGAUAUAUUUCUAUUUUUAAAAACCAUUUUCUGAGCAUUUCUACAUUGCAAAUAAAUUAAAUCUUCUACUCCCAACAUGAAGUCUGAAAAAUAACAAUGAAUAACAAAAGAUAGUUACCAUCUUUUAAACAUCAACUUAUGUACAUUCUCCUGUUUAAUUACAUCUAGCACAUAAAAUAACCCCAUAAAAUAGGUAUAAUGAUCCCACUUUAAGGUGAUGAAACUAAGGGUCAGAAAAGCUAUUGAGCCAAGCUGAAACACCUAAGAAGUAGAGGAACAAAAAUGUGAACAUAGGAAAUGAUGUCAAGUGUUUUGAGGGUUUUUUUUUUUUUCCUCCCCUAAAUGCUUGGAUAUUUAGGAAAGCUUUUUCCCCAUCUUUUCUCAGAAAUCCCUUGUUGAGGCUGUUGGAAGUAAAGCCAACGCUCUGACAGCACAAUUAGCUCCAAAGUCUGAGAUGCUUAACUUUUUCAAAUUACAGGUGUAGGGGCUUGGUUAAGAGAAACAGGUAGAGAAGCAGGUCAGCAUAGAGAGAGUCAGCUAUUGGAGGAAUUAAAAAAAAAAAAAAAGUAAAGAAAGCUUGAAGGUGCGUGGAGCCACAGCUCCUAUUCUGUAAGCAUCCUGGAUUUCCCAAAACCUGUCUGUUCUCCUUCUGUGCAUAAUUGUGUGUGUAAGUACAGCCUAGUUAUUACCCAUUCUAAGUAGCAAUUUGAUGUGAGCUAAAAGCUCUAAGUCGAGUCUCCGAAUGGCUCUGAGAACAUCACUGUCAAAGCCAGCUCUGUCUACAGAAGGCCCUGGAAUGCCAGCAAACCCAGGAUCUGCCCCAUAUACACGGGCAGCUACGAACAGCAGUUCUCUUCUGCAGCACCUUCUUCUACUUGCUGGGUCCUGGCUACAUCUUCCCAACCUAUCUGGUUAUCAACCUCUAAGCAUCCCAGCUCCAGUCAAAACUCCUCUGCUGGGGGCUUCCCUGGUGGUUGAGUGGUAAAGAAUCCAUCUGCCAACGCAGGACACACGGGUUCAAUCCCUGGUCUGGGAAGAUCCCACAUGUCAAGGAGCAACUGAGCCUGGGCGCCACAGCUGCUGAGCCUGUGCUCUAGAGCCUGGGAGCUGCAACCACUGAAACCACAUGCUGCCGAAGCCUGAGCGCCCCAGAGCCCGUGCUUCACCAGGGAAGUCGCCACAGUGAGAAACCCGCUCCCUGCAACCAGAGAGUAGCCCCCACUCAUAGCAACCAGAGAAAGCCUGCACACAGCAACACAGACCCAGCACAGCCA